GCCGGAAUGGUGAAAUUGGUAGACACAAGGGACUUAAAAUCCCUCGGAUGAAUAAUCCGUGCCGGUUCGACCCCGGUUUCCGGCA
This 85-nucleotide transfer RNA is filed under the name Spirochaetaceae bacterium. RNAcentral describes it as "tRNA-Leu". It matches the Rfam family "tRNA". Rfam says of the family: Transfer RNA (tRNA) molecules are approximately 80 nucleotides in length. Their secondary structure includes four short double-helical elements and three loops (D, anti-codon, and T loops). The record is from RNAcentral. Lineage: Bacteria; Pseudomonadati; Spirochaetota; Spirochaetia; Spirochaetales; Spirochaetaceae.